GAUGAACGCUGGCGGCGUGCCUAAUACAUGCAAGUCGAGCGAACAGACGAGGAGCUUGCUCCUUUGACGUUAGCGGCGGACGGGUGAGUAACACGUGGGUAACCUACCUAUAAGACUGGGAUAACUUCGGGAAACCGGAGCUAAUACCGGAUAAUAUUUCGAACCGCAUGGUUCGAUAGUGAAAGAUGGCUCUGCUAUCACUUAUAGAUGGACCUGCGCCGUAUUAGCUAGUUGGUAAGGUAACGGCUUACCAGGGCAACGAUACGUAGCCGACCUGAGAGGGUGAUCGGCCACACUGGAACUGAGACACGGUCCAGACUCCUACGGGAGGCAGCAGUAGGGAAUCUUCCGCAAUGGGCGAAAGCCUGACGGAGCAACGCCGCGUGAGUGAUGAAGGUCUUCGGAUCGUAAAACUCUGUUAUUAGGGAAGAACAAACGUGUAAGUAACUGUGCACGUCUUGACGGUACCUAAUCAGAAAGCCACGGCUAACUACGUG
Molecule: ribosomal RNA, 497 nt
Filed under: uncultured bacterium
Lineage: Bacteria
Description: partial 16S ribosomal RNA
Rfam family: Bacterial small subunit ribosomal RNA
Source: RNAcentral